UUUUUUACUGUAUUUUUUAAUUCUUUUUGCUUUUAAUUUUAGAAAAAUUAUAAAAUUUUUGUUAGUGCCAUUAGUUUUCAAAUUUGAAAACACUUUUUUUGUUUUUUUGUUUUCUUUCUUGCUUUAUUUAUUUUAUUUUGUUUCUACUUACAACAAAAUACUUAUUGUUGCUAUUUUUAAUUAUUACGAGGGCCGAACCAUAAGACAUUAAAGCAUUUCAAAUGAACUAUGAAAAAAUUGAAAGUUGGCAUGGUAUCAUAAAUUCACCCACAUAGCAUGUGCAUGUACAAAACGGACAAUGGUAUCAUACUCGUGUGUUACAAAGUUGGCAUGGUAUCAUCAUAAUAGUUGUGGGAGAAAGUCUUCACUUUUUCUUCGCUUGUGUCAUUUGCUUAUUGCACCGUAACCAUGGAUAAUCUUCAUCACUUAUCAGGAUGCUGGGGUCAGCCUUGACUUUGAAGGGAGGAAUUUCAUGAAACUUUUCAUAAUCUUUAGAUAUGUUUGUCUUUCCCUCCACUCCCAUGAUGUCCCUUUUUCCUGAAAGAACUAUGUGGCGCUUUGGCUCAUCGUAUGAUGUAUUCGCUUCCUUAUCUUUUCUUUUUCUCGGUCUGGUAGACAUGUCCUUCACAUAGAUAACCUGUGCCACAUCAUUGGCUAGGACGAACGGUUCGUCAGUGUACCCAAGAUUUUCAAAUCCACUGUUGUCAUUCCGUACUGUGGGUCUACCUGUACCCCGCCUCCUGACAGAUUGACCCAUUUGCACUUAAACAAAGGGACCUUAAAAUCAUGUCCGUAGUCAAGUUCCCAUAUGUCCACUAUGUAACCAUAAUAUGUGUCCUUUCCCCUCUCGGUUGUUGCAUAAAAGAGGACACUGCUGUUUUGGUUGGUGCUCUUUUGAUCUUGGUCAAUCGUGUAAAAUGUAUUCCCAUUUAUCUCGUAUCCUUUCCAAAUCGUAACAGUCGAAGAUGGUCCCCUGGACAACAAGUACAGCUCAUCACAAACAGUGUUGUCACCUCUGAGACGUGCUUCCAACCAACUGCUGAAAGUCCUGAUGUGUUCACAUGUAAUCCAGUCAUCGCACUGCUCUGGGUGUUUGGAGCGCAGACUGUUCUUGUGUUCAUCGACAUACGGGGUCACCAAGGUAGAGUUCUGUAGAACUGUGUAGCAUGCUUGAGACCAAGAAUAUCCGUCCCUGCAUAUUAUUGAGUCCCUUCCAAGCGUGCCUUUUCUAGUCAGUCUCCCCUCAUACCGCGAUUGAGGGAGACCUAUCUUCUUAAGGCCAGGAAUGAAGUCAACACAAAACCCGAUGAAAUCCUCUGUUUGAUGGCCCAUGGAGAUGCUUCCUUCUGGCCUAGCGCGGUUACAGACAUAUUUCUUUAGGACUCCCAUGAACCUCUCAAAGGGGUACAUAUUGUGUAGAAAUACGGGGCCCAGAAUGACAAUCUCGUCAACUAGAUGAACUAGGACGUGCGUUCAUGAUAUUGAAGAAGGAUGGUGGGAACACCAGCUCGAAACUGACAAGACAUUGCACCACAUCACUCCUUAGCCUUGGUAUGAUUUCUGGAUCGAUCACCUUUUGAGAGAUUGCAUUGUGGAAUGCACAUAGCUUCACAAUGGCUAAUCAGACGUUUUCCGGUAGAAUCCCCCUCAAUGCAACCGGAAGCAGUUGCGUCAUAAUCACGUGGCAGUCAUGAGACUUUAGGUUCUGAAACUUUUUCUUUGACAUAUUUAUUAUUCCUUUUAUAUUCGACGAGAAGCCAGUCGGGACCUUCAUACUAAGCAGGCAUUCAAAGAAGAUUUCCUUCUCUUCUUUGGUAAGAGCAUAGCUGGCAGGACCUUCAUACUGCUUUGGAGGCAUGCCGUCUUUUUCGUGCGAACGUUGCAGGUCCUCCCGUGCCUCAGCUGUAUCUUUUGUCUUCCCAUACACGCCCAAGAAGCCUAGCAGGUUCACGCAAAGGUUCUUCGUCACGUGCAUCACGUCGAUCGAAGAGCGGACCUCUAGGUCUUUCCAGUAGGGUAGGUCCCAAAAUAUAGAUUUCUUCUUCCACAUGGGUGCGUGUCCCCCAGCGUCACUCGGAACAGCUAGUCCGCCGGGACCCUUUCCAAAGAUUACGUGUAAUCAUUGACCAUAGCAAGUACGUGAUCACCGGUACGCAUGGCGGGCUUCCUCCGGUGAUCUGCCUCGCCUUUGAAAUGCUUGCCUUUCUUUCGACAUUGAUGGUUGGUCGGAAGAAAUCGACGAUGGCCCAGGUACACAUUCUUCCUGUAGCUUCCCAGGUAUAUACUAUCGGUGUCAAGUAAAUAGUGCGUGCAUGCGUGGUAUCCCUUGUUUGUCUGUCUUGAAAGGUUACUGAGAGCGGGCCAAUUGUUGAUGGUCACGAACAGCAACGCCUUUAGGUGAAAUUCCUCCUGUUUGUGCUCAUCCCACGUACGUACACCGUUUCCAUUCCACAGCUGUAAAAGUUCUUCAACUAAUGGCCUUAGGUACACAUCAAUGUCGUUGCCGGGUUGCUUAGGGCCUUGGAUGAGAGCUGGCAUCAUAAUGAACUUCCGCUUCAUGCACAUCCAAGGAGGAAGGUUAUACAUACAUAGAGUCACGGGCCAGGUGCUGUGAUUGCUGCUCUACUCCCCGAAAGGAUUAAUGACAUCCGCACUUAAAGCAAACCAUACGUUCCUUGGGUCACUUGCAAACUCAUCCCAGUACUUUCUCUCGAUUUUUCUCCAUUGUGACCCGUCAGCGGGUGCUCUCAACUUCCCGUCUUUCCUACGGUCCUCACUGUGCCAUCGCAUCAACUUGGCAUGCUCUCCGUUUCUGAACAGACGUUUCAACCGUGGUAUUAUAGGAGCAUACUACAUCAGCUUCGCAGGAACCCUCUUCCUGGAGGGCUCGCCGUCAACAUCACCAGGGUCAUCUCGUCUGAUCUUAUACUGUAAUGCACCGCAUACCGGGCAUGCGUUCAGAUCCUUGUACGCACCGCGGUAGAGGAUGCAGUCAUUAGGGCAUGCAUGUAUCUUCUGCACCUCCAAUCCUAGAGGGCAUACGACCUUCUUUGUUGCGUAUGUACUGUCGGCCAAUUCGUUAUCCUUUGGAAGCUUCUUCUUCAAUAUUUUCAGUAGCUUCUCAAAUCCUUUGUCAGGCACAGCAUUCUCUGCCUUCCACUGCAGCAAUUCCAGUAUGGUACCGAGCUUUGUGUUGCCAUCUUCGCAAUUGGGGUACAACCCUUUUUUUGGUCCUCUAACAUGCGAUCGAACUUCAGCUUCUCCUUUUUGACUUUCGCAUUGCGUCCUUGCAUCGACAAUGACCCGGCGGAGAUCAUCAUCAUCGGGCACAUCGUCUGGUUCCUCUUGAUCUUCAGCAGCUUCGCCUGUUGCAGCAUCAUCAUGCACAUCAUCUGGUUCCUCUUGAUCUUCAGUAGCAUCACCGUAUUCAGGGGGCACAUAGUUGUCAUCGUACUUUUCUUCUUCGCCGUCUUCCAUCAUAACCCCUAUUUCUCCGUGCCUCGUCCAAACAUUAUAGUGUGGCAUGAAACCCUUGUAAAGCAGGUGGGUGUGAAGGAUUUUCCGGUCAGAGUAAGACUUCGUAUUCCCACAUAUAGGGCAUGGACAACACAUAAAACCAUUCUGCUUGUUUGCCUCAGCCACUUCGAGAAAUUCAUGCACGCCCUUAAUGUACUCGGAGGUGUGCCUUGAACCGUACAUCCAUUGCCGGUUCAUCUGCGUGCAUUAUAUAUAAUUAAGUGUGUCAAAAAUCAUUAUAGAACAUCAUGAAUAGAUAAUUAAGUGACCAAAUUAAUAGAAGUUCAUCAUCACAUUAAAACCAAAGUACAUACGUAGUUCUCAUCUAACAACAUAAAGCUCUGCAUAGCAUCUAAAUUAAUUAAACCAUACAUUGAAACUAUGUAAAACAUUUCAAUGCGAAAACAAAUGCGAUCAUAAUCGCAACCAAUGUAACAACUGAUCCAACGACAUAAUGAUACCAAGCCUCAGUAUGAAUGGCAUAUUUUCUAAUCUUUCUAAUCUUCAAGCGCAUUGCAUCCAUCUUGAUCUUGUGAUCAUCCAUGACAUCCGCAACAUGCAACUCCAAUAUCAUCUUCUCCUCCUCAAUUUUUCUAUUUUUUUCCUUCAAGAAAUUGUUUUCUUCUUCAACUAAAUUUAACCUCUCGACAAUAGGGUCGGUUGGAAUUUCUGGUUCAACAACCUCCUAGAUAAAUAAAAUAUAUGUCACGUUGGUCGGCAUAAUUGUCAUAAACAAUAGAUGAAACAAUAGUUAUGAAAAGAUAAUAUAUACCACAUCCGAAUCAUAGACAGGACGAGGACCGACGGGGGCAGAUACCAAAACCAUCGCACUAUAUAAGAUGCAAUAAUAAAAGUAAGAAAAUUAUACAAGUAUCUAUAUAAACAUACAAGUAAGAAUUUUUUUCCUUUCAGAAAGAAGAUAAGAACAAGAGGCUCACCACGGUGGUGCCGGCGACGAGAUCGGCGCGGGCGAUCGACGGCGGUGAAGACGGGGAAGGGACGUGACGGACCGCUAAACCUAGACAAAUAUUGAGGAAAAUGGAGCUUGGAGGUCGAGCUUGGAGAGGAGAAAGCUUAAGUAGUGUGCCUCGGACAUUCCAUCGAACACCUCGUGUGCAUAGGAGGUGAGCUAGAGCACCACAAAGCUCUCUCCUCGCCGGCCACGAAAAACAGAGCAGUGAGAGUGCUUUGCUCGCGGGCGAGGGGUAUAUAUAGGCAAUUAAUUGGUCCCGGUUUGUGGCUUGAACCGGGACUAAAGGGAAGCCUUUGGUCCCGGUUCAAGCCACCAACCGGGACCAAUGGUGGUGGGCCAGGACCAAGGCACAUUGGUCCCGGUUCGUCCCACCAACCGGGACCAAAAGGUCCAGACGAACCGGGACCAAUGGCCCACGUGGCCCGGCCGGCCCCCGGGGCUCACGAACCGGGUCCAAUGCCCCUAUUGGUCCCGGUUGGAUUGAACCGGGACUAAUGGGCUGACCCGGCCUGGACCAUUGCCCCCUUUACUACUAGUGAUCAUUCAUGGCGUUCCCGUCAACUUCCACGAUUUCUUCAUGAGGACUCUGGCGAAUAUUGCUAUGUCACCUUUUGAACUGAAGCCUUAUGCACCAUGGAUUAUGAGGUUCAUUAGGACAAGGGCUUCACUAAAUUACAAAGCUGACACUUUGAACCAUGGCAGCUACUUGCCCCCGAUUGAAGUCCUCAAACGGUCAUAUUCCUCAGCUGAUGACAAAGGCAAGGCAACUGUUGUGAUAGAUGAAGGCAUUCGUCCAUUGGAUGGUCAAUUUCGCAAGGCUGCAUCCUACUCCACCAAUGAUGACUCUGCCACACAUGACUCUGCCGCCAAGCAAAAUCCUCAAGCCACAUCUCCCAGGGUGAUGACUGAUCGUGACUUACUCCUCAGUCUUCAUCAGAAGGUUGAUCGCACUCAUAAAUGGGUCAAGCGUCAGUUUGGUUCAAUUCUUCACAACAUGACCUCAACACACAAUGCAGUGAAGAAAAACCAAUAGUACCUCCAUGAAACCUUCAACCGUACCUGGGCUGUUCUAUCUCAUGUCUACAGCGCUGUAGAUCUGAAGAAUAUGGGUCUCAAAGAAGAAUUUGACUAGUCUGCACCUCCACCGAAGAAAUUCAAGAAGGUCAAAGUUCCUUCCUUGGUGGCCAGCUCCUAUUCUUCAUCACGCGAGACUGAUGAAAAUGAAGAUUUGGACAAUGCUGCGGCCGGCCCUACUACAACAACCGACCCCAACACCGUUGGCGCUCCUCCAUCAACUUGAUAUUCUUCAGCGGCGUUAGUCCUCAGUUUCGAUCCUUUUUGGUCAUUCGAUGACAAAGGGGGUGAAAUUUGAGUUAGUCUUCAAGCGGGUCUAUUAUAUGGGCGUUUUUUUUGCUAAGUUACAACUCUCGUUCUUCUGAAACUUUAUUGGAUCGAGUUGUAAUCUUAAACCCGAUGGUGCCCUGAUACUUUUGAUGCACUGUGCUUUGAUACUCUCGAUAUGUUUUUCUGCAUGCUUGUUACUCAUUAAUUAUUGCACGCAUGCUGAAUUUCAUCAGGCACCAUAUUUCAUCAUGCAUUUCAAAUUCUUCAUAUUAUAUGUCAAAUGUGUGUAUGAAUUACAAGAUAUAGGGGGAGAUCUCCAUGAUUUAACUCUUCAAGUGUGCAUUGCUUCAAAAGCAAAUUCCUCACUAUGCACAUCUUCAGGGGGAGUUUUUCUAUAUCUUGCAAUCAAAUUCCUCAAUAUCAGUACUUACACUUCACAUGUUUAUCCCCGUAGAAAACUUAACCUAUAUUUUCAUCAAUCACCAAAAAGGGGGAGAUUGUAAGUGCAUCUAGUGCCCCUUAGUGAUUUUGGUGUAUUAAAGACUUAUAGGUUAAGGGACUAAUGCGUUUGUGAGUGUACACAGGUCUAUAAGUCUAUGAGGAGUUUGAUAUUUACAGGGAAAGUCGACCCCUAAAAAUGAAUAUCUUCGACUGAAGAUUUUGGUAUUUCUGAAGACUUUCAUGAAGACUUUGAAAGUGAAGAAAUUGGUGUAUCCAUGAAGACUUGAUAUUCAUGCGAGGAAUAUGAAGCUUGAAGACUUUAGUUUUCAUAGUUUUGUUUUUCUCUUUCUUGAGUCAUAGGAAACACCGUACUGUUAAAGGGGGUCGAAGAAAUACUAAGGAAAAAUUUCCAUGUGAUGCUCAACUCAAAAUCCUACACCUACCAAACCCUUCGAGUGAAGCCUUUGGAAAUCUCAUACAGUUCAGUCAAUUUCUUCAGUGACAGAGACGAAGUUCUUCUGGUCGCUGAGGAAUUUGUUCUGACUGAGGAGUUAGGAAUUCGCCAGUGCGGAUUGCCUACACAGUGAGGAACAUGAUAGCCCUGAGGAAUUUGAUAGUCAAAUUUCCGACCGUUGUUGUGCUACGCGCCAGCUGUCCCAAAAUAUCUUAUCCACCUAACGGUCAUAUCAGACAAGGGCAUUUAUAUCUUAUCAUGUCGGGCUACUCCCUAGGCUAUAAAUAGCCGCCCCCUACAACCACUAGUUGGUUGGCUGCUCCAAGAGAAACUGACACUUGUCAUUUGAGAGCAACCCAUCCUCCGAGGACUUUGAGCGAAAAUCAUCGAGUGAGGAAAAUCCCAAACCCAAACACCUACAAACCCCAAAGUGAUUGAGCAUCACUGAAGAGAUUGAUCCUGCGUGGAUCCGACGCUUGUUACCUUUGAAGACUGUACUUCUUCCAGACGGUUAGGCGUCAUGGUCUAGAGCAUCCAAGAGGAAUCGUGGAUUGCCGAGUGACCAAGUCUGUGAAGGUUUGGAAGUCACCUGAAGACUUACCACGAGUGAUUGGACGAGGUCUGUGUGACCUUAGUUCAAGGAGAAUACGGUGAGGACUUGGUGUCCUGAGCUGCGCGCUCAGUGACUGGGUGUCCGGGACUGUGUGUCCUCGAGUUUAAAUACUCAGCCGCUCCAACCAGACGUAUAACUGAGACAGCAGUUGGAACUGGUCUAAUAAAUCAUUGUCUUCACCAACCUUACUGGUUCUAUUCCCUCAACUCUUUCAUUUCCUCAUUACUGUGUUGAGUGAUUGUUCAUAUCUGUGUUUGAAGACUUUGACUGAAGACUUUCCUCAGUUCAAUUUCUGUAGUCUGUUUGUCUUCAUCUUGUGUUAUCCUGUGUUUACGCUUUCUGUACUCCGUGCUUGUCUUCAUUUCAUCAUGAUGACUAAGUCUGUAUCCUGUUAUGCUUACUUCUGAGUACUUAUUCCGCUGCUAGUAGUUCUUCGCUAAGGAAUUUCCUCACCGGCAAAUUCCUCAGUGAAGAAUUCAUAAAAAUCUCCUAUUCACCCCCCUCUAGUCGAUAUAACGCACUUUCAGAAUUCUUAAAAAUCGCCUAUUCACCCCCCCUCUAGUCGAUAUAACACACUUUCAUCUUUCCACUCCUCCGGCUCUCCGGCGCUGCUCGGCGUCAAGGCCGAGCCCGCGGCGGAGACGCCGCUCGGCCGGUGCACAUGCAGCGCCGGCAUCGUCAUCAACGAGGGCGGCCGGCGUGCCUCCUCGUCGGCUCCUCCGUGAUUCGUCAAGCCAAAGACGGAGCCGGGGCUCGCGCCGGUGAAAACGGAGCCGGGGCUCCCCGCCGUGAAGACAGAGCCCGGCGACGUUGAGCUCGAUGACGAGGCGGCCUUAAAAUGGGCGUGCAAGGACUUCCUGAAGAUGGAGAGGGAGCGCCAGGUCGCCGCCCUGCGGCGCUUCGAGUAGCGCCGCCGGGGCCGCGAAGAAGGAGGAGUCGUCAUCCUCGACGACAGCAACGACGACGCGCCGCCGCCGCCGCCACCAGUCCGCCAUGGCGACGCCGGGCAGGGGUCCAGCAGGGACGGCCUCGUCAAGGAGGAGAAGGCCGCCGCAGACGAUGACGGCGAGGAUGGCGGCGACGACGGCGACUACUCCGUGUUCAGCGAUUUCUUCCUUUAAUUAUAUUUGCUAUGUAACGCGUCGCGAAAAUGUCAAUAUAUGCCAAAGUUUGCCGAAAUUUAGCCGUGUUUAACCGAACUUCGCCGAAUGUUUAAAAAAAAAUUAGACGCGCCUGGGGACGGCCCUGGGUCCGGUGACUGGCGACCAACUCGCCCUCAAUCCAUUUUUUUACGCCGGCUCGUCUCCAGGUGGCGAUUUUAGGCGCCCCUUGGAGGGCCAACGGCUGAAGAUGCUCUUAUGCCUGGGAAAGCAUUUCCUUAUUCGAACCCAAAAGUGCUAGAUGGAAGGCCUUAUUACGGUGAUGCUACGGACGGUANNNNNNNNNNNNNNNNNNNNNNNNNNNNNNNNNNNNNNNNNNNNNNNNNNNNNNNNNNNNNNNNNNNNNNNNNNNNNNNNNNNNNNNNNNNNNNNNNNNNNNNNNNNNNNNNNNNNNNNNNNNNNNNNNNNNNNNNNNNNNNNNNNNNNNNNNNNNNNNNNNNNNNNNNNNNNNNNNNNNNNNNNNNNNNNNNNNNNNNNNNNNNNNNNNNNNNNNNNNNNNNNNNNNNNNNNNNNNNNNNNNNNNNNNNNNNNNNNNNNNNNNNNNNNNNNNNNNNGCACCCACCUGCACAAGGCCGGUCUGAUGCGGGCACGGGGUCCCUUGAUUUUUCAUUACACUUUUUUUUAUUUUUGUCUUUCAUUUGCUUUAAAAAACAUUUUGGUUUUCUUAAAAGUUCUGAAAUUGAAAAUGUUCAUGAAUUUAAAUGUUUGCUUACUUAGCCCCUUUUUCCUUUUUGAAAAACAAAAUGUUCGUAAGGUUAAGAAGUUCAUGCUUUCAAAAAGAAUUGGGAAUUCAAAAAAUAUUCAUGAAUUCAAAAAAGAACAUGAUUUCAAAACUGUUGCUGAAUUCCAAAAAGUUCAGGAAUUUCAAAAAAGGUUCGUGAAUUCAAAAAACAUUCAUGAAUUAAAAGAAAAUGUCCGUGAGUUCAAAAAAAUGUUCAGGACUUCCAAAUUUUCACGAGUUUGAAUUUUUUUCACAAAGUACAGAAAAUGUUCUUGAACUUAAAAAGUAGUCAUGAAGUUCAAAAAAUGUUCAUCGGUUUCAAAAAAUUUGAGGUCUUCCAUAAAAUGUUAAGAAGUUUGAUUUUUUUCUCAAAUUUUAAAACUUUUAGGAAAUUUAGGGUCAUGAGUUCAAGAAUUUUUCAUGAUUUAAGUUUUUUUAUGAAUUUUAAAAAUGUUUGCAAUAUUGAAAACAUGUGUAAAUAAAAAAGGAAAAAAGGAAAAAGAAAAAAAUAAUUUUAAAAAUGGGAAGACAAAAAUGAAAAAAAGAAGAACAGACUAACCGGCGGCCCAUUCCCGCUGGCGGGUGUGCGUGUUUAGUCACUACAAUAAUCCUACAUACAGGGCAUAGGCCACGGAAGAGAAGUUACGGGCUAGCGUGUUUGCUCCUCAUUAAUCUCUCCCUCCUUGAAUUUCGUUGGGGGUCCCACCACUAACCAACUACGGAUUUACACUUUCGUCCGUAACUCCUUCGGUGCCAAAACCGUCCAUAAGUGUAGCAUUUCCCUUGGUCGCUAUCCCCCCAACCCGCACAUGAAAUAGGGUGUCACCUUGGAUCAAUGUGUUAAACCCCUGUAAAUAAGCGAACCAACCUGUGGUUUGAUGGUUAGAGGGACCGUGGUAUCCCCAGUUCACUAGGAUUCAAGUCCUGAUGCUCGCAUUUAUUUCUGGAUUUAUUUCAGGAUUUCCGGCGAUGCGCAUUCAGUGGGAGGAGACGUCUCCGUCAACGACAAGGUGCCUACGGUAGCUUCGUAAAUUUCAAGAUGAUAGGCCGGCUCGGUCAUUCGGAUGUGCUCAUAGGGGUAGGAUGGGCAUGUGUGCGUCCAUAAGGUGAGUGUAUACGCGUGUAUAUGAGCGCUUGCGUCUGUACUGUGUAAAAAAAACCUAUAAAUAAUUUGUACAUGUAGCUUUACUCAUUUGUAUCUCUGCGAAAACGAUCAUUCACUCGGGGACCUUCAUGAAGGCCAGUCCUCGAUUAAGGUCCAUAAUCUAUGCACAUAAUUCGUAUAAUAUAGCUCUCAUUCAAUAUUGCAUAAGUAAAUUAUUAGGAUUAUAGCAUAAGUAUUCAAUUCAUAUUUUUUUUAAGUAUUGCCAGCAUGCAACUGCAAAAUGAAGAAACCAUUUCAUCAUAGUUAAUCGCGUUCUUCCUAUCAAUAAUAUCUACUGUUAUGUUCUCUCCGCGGGUAGUCCGUCCUCUCCCGUCGCUCACUUCGGUAAUAUCUACUCUCUUCUCCUCUGUACUCGCUGCUGGCAACUCGUCUACUCUCAUCCCGUCGAUGCUGCCUGCUCGAGCUGUGGCCGUGGGAAGAUUGCGGCUGCUCAUCCCUCGGCCUCUUGCGGCCGGAUUCGGCAUCGACCUUGUCAAUUUUACCUUUUGUUGUGUUGCGCUCCCCUGAUGGAAUCACCGCCCCGGUACAAUCGCUAGGGUCGACGACAUGUCCGGCGAAGAGGAUCGCAUGCGACUCCUCCUCGAUUAUAAAGUAGGCGAACGGGUGGUCGGCGACGAAAAGCACUUCCUCCGGCGGGUAUUGAGAGGAUUUGGCAGUGACGUCAUAGAAGGUCAAAGCGGCGGCUUUGGUUCCGUCCUCGUUGACCUCGAUGACAGCCUUCUGGAAGACGUCUUGCACGCAGAACUCGUAGCCGUCAUCCAGCAUCUCGGAGAGGUCGGCCCGAUGGCUGAAAGGUAGCCGGAGCCCAAGGUCCUUAAGGACGGCGGUGACGCUGCUCCUGAAGGAGAGCUCGAACCUGGGCACCAGCACCUGGUCGACCUUGACUCUGCGCGUCGGCAGGUGCUCGCGCAGGAAGCCUGCCGGGGACGACGUCGUGAUCUUGUCCAGCAGGCCCGCCAGGCCGUCACGCGCGUCCGGGAGGAAGACGCACAUGCUGUGGCGCUGGGUGUACGCUGUACUGCUCUCGUAGGGCAGCUUGAGCACCUUGAACCCGUCGUGCCGGUGGAAGGGCCUGUCCUUGGUCGAGCUCUUGUAGAAAGGCAUUUCCCACUUGCCCCUGAAGUAGAUGGCGUUGGCCAGCACGAGGUGGGUGUUCCGGUGUACGGCUCCCCGAGGGACGGCGGAGUCGAUGAGGUUCCUCGUGGAAGCAGCGGCCCACGCGUUGAUCUUCGCCCUAGCUUGCUCCGGGUCGUUGCGGAAGUCCACGGAGCUGGCCUCGGCCUUGUACCUGCCGACGACGGCGUCACGGAAGGCUGGCUUCAGCGGCCGCCUCAGGUCGCUCCAGACGCCGCACGCGAACGCCACGCUCGGCCCGCCGCCGUCAGGAUCCAAUGAUCCGUCCAGGAGACGCUCCACGGAGUCCUCUAGCUCGCGGCGGGACCGUGCGCCUAGGACGCGGAGGAUCUCUUCCAGGGUCUCCCCACCGGCGCCGACGGCCAGGAGCGCCAGGGCGGCGUAGAUGGAGAGCGGCGAGAAGACCAGGUUGCGGUCGCUGUUGGCGUCCGCGAGUCGCUUGGUGAGCCGGGCGGCAAGAUCGGCCAUGCCGGCGGACUGCUGCUCCUCCAUGGCGAGCUAGAGAUCAGAGAUCAAUGGGUUCGACGAUACACCCCGGCCUGAUAUAUAUGGAGUGGAGGGGUACGUAAGUCGGUUGUGAAUCGUGAUUACGUAGUCCCAAUCGGACAUGACCCAGAACCAGAUCUUGAUCCGUGCGUGACAGCGUGAGUGCGACAUGUUGUGAUCCGACUCCGAGUGCUCCCCGUGACCAUUGGCCGUGGCUGAUUUUUAGUAGUAAUAAAAACUAAUUCUGAAUUUGAAGGAAAUGAAAGAAUUUAGCAUUGGCGCUUGCUGACUUUUACUACCUCCAUAUACGAAUACAAGACGUUUUGGUAGAUCAUUUUGUCCUACCAAAACAGUCUUAUAUUCUUAUACGGAGGGAGUAUUAAACUAAUUCUGGAAUUGAAGAAAUAAAAGAAUGAAUUACUUUAGCACAGUGAGCUUACAACGUUAGAUAAACUUGAUUUCUUUGUGAAAUACAUUUUGUCUCCAAUGGUACACAACUUUGCUUCUGACACCACUGAAGUUUGCUUCCAUCAAAAACAUGCAGGGUGAAUGAAGUGUGAAUCCCCGACAGUGCGGCCCAUUCCCGUGGUUGCAAUCCCGACCACGUAAGGAAUAGAAUCUGGGUGGAAACAACCCACGCCCACACAGCGAUGUGUCCAUGGGCCAUAUGGCCGCAAGGAGUGUAACAGAUGCACUGCCCAAUAUUUCCAGCAAAUAAGCACGAGUUGUAGUGGCUAGAGUUGUUCGCCUCGAUCAGUGCAGCGCAGUAUCAGAUCCUCUUGUGUACAUAGUUUUUGCUUUAUUUUUAAAAUUUUGUUCAUACUUCCAAAUUAUCUAAAUAUAUGUAUAUUAAAUAAAACACUAUAUGUAAAACAUUAAAAAAGGUUAAUCAAGCAUUUUAAAAAGUAAAAUGUGUACACAAAGAAUCUUUCUUAUGUAUAUGAAAAAUGUAUACAAAAAGAUACAUACAAUAUAUUAAAAAAAUAUUAAUCCAGCAUCUAUAAAAUGUUAAUCAAGCAUUUAAAAAUGUUAAAUGUGCAUAGAAAAAUGUAUAUAUUAUAAAACAUACUUUACAUAAUAUUUGAAAAAAAUGUUUAUCAAGUAUUUGAAAAUUUUAAAUGUGUAUAGAGAAAAUGUUUCUCAUGUAUACGAAAAAUGUAUAUAAAAAUAUACAAUGUGUAUAAAUAAAAUUGAUCAUUUAUUUAAAAUAUGUUUGUCCUGUAUACAAAAAGAAUAGAAGUGCGUACGAAAAAAGUAUUCAUCAUGUAUUGUAGAAAUGCUAAACGUGUAUAAGAAAAUGUUGAUCAUGUGUGGACCAUUUUUUAAAUGGCAAAAACAUAUUUUUUUCACACGCCAUGUAGAUUAUUUUGUAUACAUCCGGAAAAUAUUUAUAUUCAUGUUUAACAUUUCUUAAAUAAAGAAUUUUCUUUUAUAAAUAUAUGUUUUGAUGUCUAGUUUACUUAAUGUAUGUUCUACAUGUUUUGUAUACACGAUCAACAUUUCUAUAUACAGGCUUAACAUUUUAGAAAUACAUUAUCAAAGUUUUCUCAAACAAAAGAAAACCAAAGAAAACAAACGAAAACCAAGAAACAAACAGAGGAAAUCAAAAGUAAAAAAAAUAUAAAAAACACUAGAAAAAGGAUGAAAAGCAGAGAAAACCGAGAAAGAAACAAAGAAAACCGAUGAAAAACAAGAAAAAUACAAAAAAGCUAAGGAAAAAAGAUAUACCUACUUUACUAAUAAAGAGAUUAGUGCUUCUGCCCGUCUGGCAUGCCCUUUUGUAGAAAACCCCUGGUUCUUUGUUGAAAUCAACCCAAAGUACAAGUUUAAUUGACUCCAAAGAAAAUGUUUUACUUUUUGUAGAAAACCUGCUGUAGUUUUCUCAAAUCAACCAGCGGUCCCGGUUGUGAGUCAGAAGAACUAAUCGAUGUUUGCGGAAAAUACCUUGACAUUUGGUUUAAUCAACCUAUAAUCCAUAUCAUAUGUUUUUAAAAAUAGUCAUAUAUUUUGAGCCAUAGCUCCGUUUUUAACAUGUUAGAUAUGAAAUUUGAAUACAAAUGUAUAGAAUCUGAAUAUGGUGUUAUUUUACCUGUUAACCAUUUAAAAAUGCUAUUUAGGAUGCAAUUUUAAUCAAUAGUGCAUGAUCCGCCUUUCGUAUCGGUGCGGAUCUAAAUUGAAAAUGAACAUGUUAGAAAACUAGAUUAGAGACGAAAGAAUCAUCUAUAACCAUGCAUGCACGUGUCAGCAAAUCCUCGCAAGGGCAAAAGAAAGCAAAUUAGAGAGUGAGAGAGAGAGGGGGGGGGGGAGGCCUUAUGAUUGACCACAUUCAAACGCGUUGUGAUUGUGUGAGCAUUGGGGCCACGGUCGAUGAGGGUGGGAAGGAGAAUAAAUGGCAGCACAAAUAAGAUGUCAUGUUCAAAUAAAGAAUGUUGAUCUAUUGGGGUAUUGAGUCAUGGUUAUUGGGUUACAGGCAUGUGUUAUUUUUUCUCCCAUUGCAACACACAAACACUUUUUCCUAGUAUAUAAACAAAUAAAAGAGAAAACCACUAAAAACAAGAAAGAAACAAAAACAAAUCAAAGAAAACGAGAAAAAUAAUAAUGAAUAAACAAGGAAAUCUGGUUAAAAAGAAAGAAAACUAAAACCAAAGAAAAACAUAUGGAAGAGACAAAGGAAAAACAAAAGGAAAGGGGAAAAACCAGAAAGAAAACCAAAAAAACUUAAAGGAAACCAGACCAACUAGUAAAGCCGUUGACACCUCGAGCGAGCAAACGCGACAGCAAUAAGAAUAAAUGAGUUAGCCCAGUUAGAAUGCAGAGUUGACUUCAUUGAGAUGAGUGUACCUUCGAUCUCGCUUAUAGCGAGAAAUAGAUUUCAUGUAGGAUCCGCCCAUGAUCCCGUGAAUCUAGGUGGGUGGGCCAGAUUUCCCAAGUGAGCCCAAUCUAGAUGCAUAAAGUGCCACGAUUGGAUUAGUUUCUAAAACCUCCAUUCGUGUAGCUUUACUCAUUCAUAACUCUUCGAAUUAGCUUUAGUUUGGCCCGUAGUCUAUGGAUAUAAAUGCAUUCAUAUAAGGGAGCUCUUAUUGGGGAUUGUCUAUUUAGCACUCGACUGUUUUUCAAUUCGACAACAAUCAAAUUUUCUAACAAAUGAGCAGAUGACAACUGUAUGUCCCAAAAAAACCUCCAGCGGCAACUGUAUAUUUUCUAUUUAAAAAAAUGGGUCGGGCAAACCCUGACCCAGUUUCAACUAAACCGACACCCAAAACCUUCCUGGACCAUAGCUAACAGCUGGCCAUAAACCUCCCUGGAUCCACAGUUAACAGCUCGCCAUCAACUUGAGACCCAUGAAAAUGGCAAACCCCAUGGAAAAUCUCCACCCCUUCUACAUAACAGAGAUCUCAUGUAACACACGCCACAACACAGAAACAAAUCAGACUGGCGGCCACGGAAGAAGGGUGGGGAGAAGAAGAAAGAGCAGAUCAAAAUCAGAUCAGGAAGGCGGCCAUGGUAGAGGGGGUGAACCCGGAGAGGAAGGUGUACCUAGAGACGAGCAAGAAGGAAGAACAGCAGCCAGACAAUUGGGGAAAUCCUAGGAAAAUCAACAGGUCAGGAACAAUUCUACUCCUAUCCCUAGUACUUCAAUUCUUCACCCGCUUCACCUCUCUUACAAGGAAUAUCUGGAAAACAAAGGCAUCAGAGAAACUAUAUGCAGGUUAAGAAACAAAGAGGAAAUCACACUGGAAAAACUAGAUACUCUGAAAAGAAUAGAUCAACUUGGAUAGUUGUAGAAAUGACACUGCAAGAACACAUUGUUCACUAGAAGUUCACAAAACUUCGAUAGUUACAGAAACUGACUAAGAAUGACACUGGAAGAACAGUACCAGACCUUGCUAACUUACACUGAAACUGCCUAAGAAAUACAUUGCAAAACUAAGAAUUACAGUGCAAAUCCCCUAGGAAUUACAGUACAUAGUAAUUCACGGUGCGAUUACCAAACGAAUUACAGUGCAAUUGCCAAUGAAUUACAGUGGAAAUUGCCUAGAAAUUUCAUAUCAAAUGUAAGAAUGCAUGAAGUUACACUGGAAAAACCGACUGUACUGUUAAAUGCAACUGCUAAUUGUACUAUUACUGACAUUUCUUUUCCAAAAAUGCAGAUGGGGAGCAUGACAAGAACAAUAAUAGGGGGAAAUAAAUCAAGAUAAAUACACUGCAAAAAUGGGGGAAAUACACUAUAAAAUACAUAUGUAAACCAUCACAAUUCUUGGGGAAAUUACAGUAGAAAUAGGGCCCAUGUAAAAUGUCAGGAAUUACAUAACUGAAACACUAGUGUUACACAGUAACUCGGGUAAAUUACACUGAAAGUAAGGGACAUAUUACACUGAAACUAUUAGGAUGAAUCACACAGUAAUUCUAGACUGAAUUACACUAAAACUACUGUAUGAGUUACAUAGUAAUUCUUGGGAAAAUUACACAGUAAUUCUAGAGUGGAUUACCGAACUAAGGAAUCGGUUAGAAAUGUUUUGAAAUGGAUAUUGUUCUCUCUUUGAUCAGGGAUUAUGGGGCAAAUUACACAGUAAUACUAGUGUGAAUUACACUGAAACGAUGGGAUGAAUUACAUAAUAACUAUGGGGUAAAUUACACAGGAAUACUAGUGUGAAUUACACUCAAACUACGGGAUGAAUUACACAGUAACUAUGGGGCAAACUACACAGUAAUAGUAGUGUGAAUUACACUGAAACUGGGGCAAAUUACACCGUAAUUCUGGAGUGCAUUGCACUGAAACUAUUGGCUGAAUUACAUAGUAAAUACAGAGCUAAUUACAUAGUAUAUUACACUGAAACUAUGGGGAUUACACAUCAAGUCUGAGGCAAAAUAGACAGUACUUCUAGUGUAUAUGACACUGAAAUUAUGGGGUUACACAGUAACACUAAGAUAAGUAAAAGAACACUUAACACAGGCAGAGAUACACUAAACCUGUAGCAGUAAUACAGUUCAAUCACCCAGGGCAUUAAGAAGGAGAAGCUUAAAGGAAUUACAUUGCAAAAGCACAUGAAAAUACAGAGAAAAAGCACUCAGAGGAUAGUAUAGGGCUACACCACAGGAAGGAAACACCAAAAACAGAGCACUGACGUGCUGGGUAACUAGGAUACACUAAGAGAGAUAUUUAUGCACUCAGAGGCCAAAGGGACAUGGGCAUUGCAUGCGGCAGGGGCCAGAGGAGGAACAUAACUACAUCUAAACCUACCGAAAUCCAAACAUCUACAACCCUAGAACCAACACGGCUAGAUGAGGAACACCUAUCUACCAGCGAACAAACAGACCACCUACCGAUGCAAAUCACAAACCCCAAACCACAAAAAAUCCCAUCUCAAAACCUAUAACUGAUCCAUACAUCUAUCCGAACCACAAAAUGAAACACCCAUGAGCCUACCACGAGCAGACGAGGAACAAAAUGGCGGAAAACACGAAGUAGGCGAGGAACCAUGAUGGACAACACGAAGCAGAACCAACCACUAAAACCACAAGCAGAUACCACGAAUCUACAACAACAUGGCCCGGGAUCACAACACACACCUAACACAAACCCUAACAAAAUUACAUCAGCAACUAACGCUCAAUCUAGAAGCCACACACCCAGACAUGAACAAAAAUCACGCGCGCGAGAGAGAGAAUUAUGAGACAAACCAACCGCAGCAGGCGAGAAUCGAAGAGAAAGGAGAGAGAAAUCAAGCUCCACAGGUGGGGGAUCUCGGAAUCAACAUGAACAGAAAGGAAUCCCUCUGCCACCCGAGCGUCUGUUCCUCUCUCUGCCUCGCUAUCUCAUCUCUCCCUUAUCGAAACAGUGCCACUCAAAUGAAAGGGGAAAACCACGCCGAAAAUUCAAAAAGGACAAAACCUGGAAGAGGGCGAGGGGGCAACCCGAUGAAACGGUAAUGGGCUGAGACAGAAAACCGCACCCGACAGAGAAAACAAGUCCGAAAACCAGGCAGCCAAGCGCGAAUCUCCACGCAACAGCGGACGGACAACGAUUUGAAUGUUGGCGAAUGGAAUAACAGUCGACCGUAAAAUAGCAAAUCCGUUUAGUAUUGCACAAGUAAAAAGACUUUGCAUAAGUAUUCAAUUCAUUUUUUUUGCACAAGUAUUGCAAGCAUGCAGCUGCCAAAUGAAGAAACUAUUCAUCCUAGUUCAUUCCUUCAUAUCAAUAAUAUCUACUAUGUUUUCUCCUCGGGCUGCUCAUCUUCUCCCGUCGCUCACUUCGAUAAUAAAGACGAUAAUAAUAUCUACUCUCUUCUCUUCUGUUCUCGCUUCUGGCAACUCGUCUACUCCCGUGCCGUCGAUGCUGCCUGCUGGAGCUGUGGCCGUGGGAAGAAUGCGACGGCUCAUCCCUCCGCCUCUUGCGGCCGGAUUUGGUGUCGACCUUGUCACUGAACCUGUCAAUUUUACCUUUUGUCGCGCUGCGCUCCCCGGACGGAAUCACCACCCCGGUACCAUUGCUAGGGUCGACGACAUGUCCGGCGAAGAGGAUGGCAUGCGACUCCUCCUCGAUUAUGAAGUAGGCGAACGGGUGGUCGGCGACGAAAGCACUACCUCUGGCGGGUGUUGACAUGAGGAUUUCACAAUGGCGUCAUAGAUGGUCAUAGCGGCAGCUUCCGUUCCGUCCUCGUUGACCUCGAUGACAGCCUUCUGGAAGACAUCUUGCACGAGGACGUCCUCCUCCAGCAUCUCGGAGAGGUCGGCCCGUUGGCUGAAAGGUAGCCGGAGCCCCAGAUCUUUAAGGACGGCGGUGAUGCUGCUCUCGAAGGAGAGCUCGAACCUGGGCACCAGCACCUCGUCCACAUUAACCCAGCGCGUCGGCAGGUGCUCGCGCAGGAAGGCUGCCGGGGACGACGACGUAAUCUUGUGCAGCAGCCUCCUCAGGCCGUCGCGCGCGUCCGGAAGGAAGAUGCACAUGCUGUGGCGCUGGGUGUACGUCGGACUACGCUGGUAUCCUAACUUGAGCACCUUGAACCCGUCGUGCGCGGCCAUGUCGUGAUAGUUAUCUCUGUGGUACGUCAUGAAGGGGACGUCGACGGCGGUGCCGUCCAGCCGGUAGAAGGGCCUGUUCUUGGUCGAGCUUUUGUAGAAAGGCACGUGCCACUUGGCCCUGAAGUAGAUGGCGUUGGCCAGCACGAGGUCGGUGUCCGGGCGUACGGCUCCCGGAGGGACGGCGGAGUCGAUGAGGUUCCUCGUGGCCGCAGCGGCCCACGCGUUGAUCUGCGCCGUCGCUUGCGCCGGGUCGUUGUGGAAGUCGACGGAGCUGGCCUCGGCCUUGUACUUGCCGACGACGGCGUCACGGAAGGCCGGCUUCAGCCGCCGCGUCAGGUCGCUCCAGACGCCGCACGCGAACGCCACGCUCGGCCCGCCGCCGUCAGGAUUCGACGAUCCGUCCAGGAGACGCGCCACGGAGUCCUCUAGCUCGAGGCGGGACCGCGUGCCUAGGACGCCGAGGAUCUCUUCCAGGGUCUCCCCACCGGCGCCGGCGGCCAGGAGCGCCAGUACGGCGUAGAUGGAGAUCGGCGAGAAGACCAGGUUGCGGUCUCUGUUGGCGUCCGCGAGUCGCUUGAUGAGGCGGGCGGCGAGAUCGGCCAUGCCGGCGGACUGCUGCGCCUCCAUGUCGAUGUCAAUCUAGAGAUCAUCGGCCUGAUAUUUAUGGAGGGGCACGUAAGUCGGUCGUGAUCAUGGAGUCCCAAUCCAGCAUGAACCCGAUCUGCCAGGCGUGCGUGCGUGCGACUUGCUGUGAUUUGAGUGCUCCCGGUGACCAUUGGCGGUUGCUGAUUUUUUCUGGAAUUGAAGGAAAUAAAAGAAUAUAUUAAUUUUUCUUUUUGCGGUUGAAAAUAUUGUAUUACUCGUUCCCAAGAUUCAUACAAUCAAUCGCAGCUAGCUCUAAAACGUCCGGAGGGCCAGACCCUAGCCAAGUCAAGGUUCUUCCCUCAACACAAGCAAAUCUUGCUACCAUCAGAUAGUUUGCUUCCUUGUGAAACACAAAUUGUCUCCCGUCAAAUUCCUUUUGUCUCCAAUGCUACUCAACUUUGCUUUCAGCGACACUGAAAGUUUGCUUCGAUCAAGAACAUGGUGAAUGAAAUUUGAUUUAGUUAUCUUUCGACACCAUCGAAGAUGGGCUCUUGCCGCCAUCACCGAGGAGUGUGGUGUCACCAACGAGGAGUCUCGCAAAGUCGUAGCUACAAAUGGUGCAACAUCAUCGACCUGAUGUUGAUAUGCUCCAUGAUAUGCCAACCACCGAAGGGAGACUAGCUAAGGCUGCUCCCAACGGCGGCAUGGGCGCCCUUCCCGCCCCCACCACCAUCCUCCACCUCGUGCUUUGUUCUCCUAGUUGUUGUCGUACAAAGCCAACGACAAAGCCCGCUCUUCGAACGGCGACAGUGUUGGGUAAUGUAGCAGAAAUUCAAAAAUUUCCUACGAGUCACCAAGAUCUAUCUAUGGAGAGACUAGCAAUGAGGGGAAGGAGAGUGCAUCUACAUACCCUUGUAGAUCGCUAAGCGGAAGCGUUGAAGAGAACGGGGUUGAAGGAGUCGUACUCGUCGUGAUCCAAAUCACCGGAGAUCCUAGUGCCGAACGGACGGCACCUCCGCGUUCAACACACAUGCAGCCCGGUGACGUCUCCCAUGCCUUGGUCCAGCAAGGAGAGAGGGAGAGGUUGGGGAAGACUCCAUCCAGCAGCAGCACAACGGCAUGGUGGUGAUGGAGGAGCGUGGCAAUCCUGCAGGGCUUCGCCAAGCACCACGGGAGAGGAGGAGGACUUGAGAGAGGGGGAGGGCUGCGCCAGAACUUGGUUGAAGCUCCCAUGCGCCUCCCCACUAUAUAUAGGGGUGGAGGGGGCUGGUUUCUUGCCCUCCAAGUCCAUUGGGGCGUUGGCAAAGGUGGGAGGAAAGAAAUCCCAUCAUUUCCUUCCCCACCGAUUGUUAUCCCCCCUUUUAGGGAUCUUGAUCUUAUCCCUUCGGGAUAUGAUCUUAUUCCUUCUAAGGGGGGAUCUUGGUGCGCCUUGACCAGGGGUGUGGGGCCUUGCCCCCACUACCCACGUUCAUGUGGGCCCCCCAUGCAGGUGGGCCCCACUACGGAACCUUCUAGAACCUUCCCGGUACAAUACCGAAAAAUCCCGAACAUUUUCCGGUGGCCAAAAUAGGACUUCCCAUAUAUAAAUAUUUACCUCUGGACCAUUCCGGAACUCCUCGUGACGUCCGGGAUCUCAUCCGGGACUCCGAACAACAUUCGGUAACCACAUACAAACUUCCUUUAUAACCCUAGCGUCAUCGAACCUUAAGUGUGUAGACCCUACGGGUUCGGGAACCAUGCGGACAUGACCUAGACGUUCUCCGGCCAAUAACCAACAGCGGGAUCUGGAUACCCAUGUUAGCUCCCACAUGUUCCACGAUGAUCUCAUCGGAUGAACCACGAUGUCAAGGACUCAAUCGAUCCCGUAUACAAUUCCCUUUGUCUAGCGGUAUUGUACUUGCCCGAGAUUCGAUCGUCGGUAUGCCGAUACCUUGUUCAAUCUCGUUACCGGCAAGUCUCUUUACUCGUUCCGUAGCACAUCAUCCCAUGAUCAACCCCUUGGUCACAUCGUGCACAUUAUGAUGAUGUCCUACCGAGUGGGCCCAGAGAUACCUCUCCGUCACACGGAGUGACAAAUCCCAGUCUCGAUUCGUGCCAACCCAACAGACAGUUUCGGAGAUACUUGUAGUGCACCUUUAUAGCCACCCAGUUACGUUGUGACAUUUGGUACACCCAAAGCAUUCCUACGUUAUCCGGGAGUUGCACAAUCUCAUAGUCUAAGGAAAAUAUACUUGACAUUUAAAAAAGCUUUAGCAUACGAACUACACGAUCUCUGUGCUAGGCUUAGGAUUGGGUCUUGUCCAUCACAUCAUUCUCCUAAUGAUGUGAUCCCGUUAUCAAUGACAUCCAAUGUCCAUGGUCAGGAAACCGUAACCAUCUAUUGAUCAACGAGCUAGUCAACUAGAGGCUUACUAGGGACAUGGUGUUGUCUAUGUAUCCACACAUGUAUCUGAGUUUCCUAUCAAUACAAUUAUAGCAUGGAUAAUAAACGAUUAUCAUGAACAAGGAAAUAUAAUAAUAACUAAUUUAUUAUUGCCUCUAGGGCAUAUUUCCAACAGUCUCCCACUUGAACUAGAGUCAAUAAUCUAGUUCACAUCGCCAUGUGAUUAACACUCACACGUCACAUCACCAUGUGACCAACAUCCAAAGAGUUUACUAGUGUCAUUAAACUAGUUCACAUCAUCAUGUGAUUAAGACUCAAUGAGUUCUGGGGUUUGAUCAUGCAUGUUUUGCUUGUGAGAGAAGUUUUAGUCAACGGGUCUGCAACAUUCAGGUCCGUAUGUACUUCGCAAAUCUCUAUGUCAUAUUGUAAAUGCUGCUUCCACGCUCCACUUGGAGCUAUUUCAAAUGGUUGUUCCACUAUACGUAUCAUGUUUGCUACUCAGAGUCAUUCGGAUAGGUGUUAAAGCUUGCAUCGACGUAACCCUUUACGCCGAACUCUUUAUCACCUCCAUAAUCGAGAAACAUGUCCUUAUUUACUCCAAGGACAAUUUUGACCGCUGUCCAAUGAUCCAUUCCUGGAUCAUUCUUGUAUCCCUUGACUGACUCAUGGCAAGGCACACUUCCGGUGCGGUACACAACAUAGCAUACUAUAGAGCCUACGUCUGAAACAUAGGGGACGACCUUCGUCCUUUGUCUCUCUUCUACCGUGGUCGAGCUUUAACUCUUAACUUCAUACCUUACAACUCAGGCAAGAACUUCUUCUUUGACUGAUCCAUCUUGAACUCCUUCAAGAUCAUGUCAAGGUAUGUGCUCAUUUGAAAGUAUUAUUAAGCAUUUUGAUCUAUCUUAUAGAUCUUGACGCUUAUUGUUCAAGUAGCCUAAUCCAGGUUUUCUAAUUUGAAAAACACUUUUCAAAUAACCCUACAUGCUUUCCAGAAAUUCUACAUCAUUUCUGAUCAACAAUAUGUCAACAACAUAUACUCAUCAGAAAUUCUAUAGUGCUCCCACUCACUUCUUUGGAAAUACAAGUUUCUCAUAAACUUUGUAUAAACCCAAAAUCUUUGAUCAUCUCAUCAAAGUGUAUAUGCCAACUCCGAGAUGCUUACUCCAGUCCAUGGAAGGAUCGCUGGAGCUAGCAUACCUUUUAGCAUCCUUAGGAUCGACAAAACCUUUCUGAUUGUGUCACAUACAACCUUUCCUUAUGAAGACUGGUAAGGAAACUCGUUUUGACAUCCAUCUGCCUGAUUUCAUAAAUGCAGCUAAUUCUAACAUGAUUCCGACGGACUUAAGCAUCGCUACGGAUGAGAAAAUCUCAUCGUAGUCAACUCCUUGAACUUGUGAAAAACUCUUCGCCACAAGUCGAGCUUCAUAGACGGUGACAUUAUCGUCCACGUCCGUCUUCUUCUUAAAUAUCCAUUUAUCUCAAUGGCUUGCCGAUCAUCGGGCAAGUCCACCAAAGUCCAUGCUUUGUUCUGAUACAUGGAUCCUAUCUUGGAUUUCAUGGCUUCUAACUAUUCGUCGGAAUUUGGGCCCACCAUCGCUUCUCCAUAGCUCGUAGGUUCAUUGUUGUCUAGCAACAUGACUUUCAAGACAGGAUUACUGUACCACUCCGAAGUAGUACGCAUCCUUGUCACCCUAUGAGGUAUGGUAGUGACUUGAUCCAAAGCUUCAUGAUCACUGUCAUAAGCUUCUACCUCAAUUGUUGUAGGCGCCACAGGAACAACUUCCUGUGCCCUGCUACACACUUGUUGAAGUGAUGGUUCAAUAACCUCAUCAAGUCUCCACCAUCCUCCCACUCAAUUCUCGAGACAAACCUUUCCUCGAGAAAGGACCCGAUUCAAGAAACAAUCCCUAUUGCUUUCCGAUAUGAAUUAGGAGGUAUACCCAACUGUUUUGGGUGUCCUAUGAAGAUGCAUUUUAUCCGCUUUGGGUUCGAGCUUAUCAACCUGAAACCUUUUCAUAUAAGCGUCGCAGCCCCAAACUUUUAAGAAACGACAAUUUAGGUUUCUCCAAACCAUAGUUCAAACGGUGUCGUCUCAACGGAAUUAUGUGGUGCCCUAUUAAAGUGAGUGCGGUUGUCUCUAAUGCCUAACCCAUGAACGAUAGUGGUAAUUCGAUAAGAGACAUCAUGGUACGCACCAUGUCCAAUAGGGUGCAACUAUGAUGUUCGGACACACCAUCACACUAUGGUGUUCCAGGCGGUAUUAACUGUGAAACAAUUUCCACAAUGACUUAAUUGCGUGCCAAAGCUCGUAACUCAGAUACUCAUCUCUAUGAUCAUAUCAUAGACAUUUUAUCCUCUUGUCACAAUGAUCUUCAACUUCACUCUGAAAUAACUUGAACCAUUCAAUAAUUCAGACUUGUGUUUCAUCAAGUAAAUAUACUAAACAUCUACUCGAAUCAUCUGUGAAGUAAGAACAUAACGAUAUUCACUACAUGCCUCAGCACUCAUUGGACUGCACACAUCAAAAUGUGUUACUUCCAACAAGUUGCUAUCUUGUUCCAUCUUACUGAAAACGAGGCUUUUUAGUCAUCUUGCCCAUGUGGUAUGAUUUGCAUAUCUCAAGUGAUUCAAAAUCAAGUGAGUCCAAACGAUCCAUCUGCAUGGAGUUUCUUCAUGCGUAUACACCAAUAGACAUGGUUCGCAUGUCUCAAACUUUUCAAAACCGAGUGAGUCCAAAGAUCCAUCAACAUGGAGCUUCUUCAUGCGUUUUAUACCAAUAUGGCUUACAUGGCAGUGCCACAACUAAGUGGUACUAUCAUUACUAUCUUAUAUCUUUUGGCAUGAAAAUGUGUAUCACUAUGAUAGAGAUUCAAUAAACCAUUCCUUUAGGUGCAAGACCAUUGAAUGUAUUAUUCAAAUAAAUAGAGUAACCAUUAUUCUCCUUAAAUGAAUAACCGUAUUGCGAUAGACAUAAUCCAAUCAUGUCUAUGCUCAACGCAAACACCAAAUGACAAUUAUUCAGGUUUAAUACUAAUCUUGAUGGUAGAGGGAGCGUGCAAUGUUUGAUCACAUCAAACUUGGAAACACUUCCAACACAUAUCGUCAGCUCACCUUUAGCUAGUCUCCGUUUAUUCCGUAGCUCUUUUAUUUCGAGUUACUAACACUUAGCAACCGAACCGGUAUCUAAUACCCUGGUGCUACUAGGAGUACUAGUAAAGUACACAUUAACAUAAUGUAUAUCCAAUAUACUUCUAUCGACCUUGCCAGCCUUCUCAUCUACCAAGUAUCUAGGGUAAUUCUGCUCCAGUGGUUGUUCCCCUUAUUACAGAAGCACUUAGUCUCGGGUUUGGGUUCAACCUUGGGUUUCUUCAUUAGAGCAGCAGCUGAUUUGCCGUUUCAUGAAGUAUCCCUUCUUGCCCUUGCCCUUCUUGAAACUAGUGGUUUCACUAACCAUCAACAAUUGAUGCUCCUUCUUGAUUUCUACUUUCGCGGUGUCAAACAUCGCGAAUACCUCAAGGAUCAUCAUCUCUAUCCCUGAUAUGUUAUAGUUCAUCACGAAGCUCUAGCAGCUUGGUGGCAAUGACUUUGGAGAAACAUCACUAUCUCAUCUGGAAGAUCAACUCCCACUCGAUUCAAGUGAUUGUCGCACUCAGACAAUCUGAGCACAAGCUCAACGAUUGAGCUUUUCUCCCUUAGUUUGCAGGCUAAGAAAAUCGUCGGAGGUCUCAUACCUCUUGAUGUGGGCACGAGCCUGAAAUCCCAAUUUCAGCCCUCGAAACAUCUCAUAUGUUCCGCGACAUUUCGAAAACGUCUUUGGUGCCUCAACUCUAAACCGUUUAACUGAACUAUCACAUAGUUAUCAAAACGUGUAUGUCCGAUGUUCGCAACAUCCACAAACAACGUUUGGGGUUCAGCACACUGAGCGGUGCAUUAAGGACAUAAGCUUUCUACUGUCUGCAUAAUCGCUACUAUCAACUUUCAACUAUAGUUUCUCUAGGAACAUGUCUAAACAGUGGAACUAAAGCGCGAGCUUACGACAUAAUUUGCAAAGAUCUUUUGACUAUGUUCAGGAUAAUUAAGUUCAUCUUAUGAACUCCCACUCAUAUAGACAUCCCUCUAGUCAUCUAAGUGAUUACAUGAUCCGAGUCAACUAGGCCGUGUCCGAUCACCACAUGAGACGGACUAGUCAUCAUCGGUGAACAUCUUCAUGUUGAUCAUAUCUACUAUACGACUCAUGCUCGACCUUUCUGUCUCUUGUGUUCUGAGGCCAUGUCUGUACAUGCUAGGCUCGUCAAGUCAACCUAAGUGUUUCGCGUGUGUAAAUCUGGCUUACACCCGUUGUAUGUGAACGUAAGAAUCUAUCACACCCUAUCAUCAUGUGGUGCUUCGAAACGACGAACUUUCGCAACGGUGCACAGUUAGGGGGAACACUUUCUUGAAAUUUUAAUGAGGGGUCAUCUUAUUUACUACCGUCGUUCUAAGCAAAUAAGAUGCAUAAACAUGAUAAACAUCACAUGCAAUCAAAAAGUGACAUGAUAUGGCCAAUAUCAUUUUGCUCCUUUUGAUCUCCAUCUUCGGGGCUCCAUGAUCAUCAUCGUCACCGGCAUGACACCAUGAUCUCCAUCAUCGUGAUCUCCAUCAUCGUGACUCCAUGAAAUUGUCUCGCCAACUUAUUACUUCUACUACUAUGGCUACCGGUUAGCAAUAAAGUAAAGUAAUUACAUGGCGUUGUUCAAUGACACGCAUGUCAUACAAUAAAUAAAGACAACUCCUAUGGCUCCUGCCGGUUGUCAUACUCAUCGACAUGCAAGUCGUGAUUACUAUUACAAGAACAUGAUAAAUCUCAUACAUCACAUAUCAUUCAUCACAUUCUUCUUGGCCAUAUCACAUCACAUAGCAUACCCUGCAAAAACAAGUUAGACGUCCUCUAAUUGUUGUUUGCAUGUUUUACGUGUUUGCUAUGGGUUUCUAGCAAGAACGUUUCUUACCUACGCAAAACCACAACGUGAUAUGCCAAUUGCUAUUUACCCUUCAUAAGGACCCUUUUCAUCGAAUCCAUUCCGACUAAAGUGGGAGAGACUGGCACCCGCUAGCCACCUUAUGCACCAAGUGCAUGUCAGUCGGUGGAACCUGUCUCACGUAAGUGUACGUGUAAGGUCGGUCCGGGCCGCUUCAUCCCAUAAUACCGUCGAAACAAGAUUGGACUAGUAACGGUAAGCAUAUUGAACAAAAUCAACGCCCACAACUACUUUGUGUUCUACUCGUGCAAAGAAUCUACGCAAUAGACCUAGCUCAUGAUGCCACUGUUGGGUAACGUAGCAGAAAUUCAAAAUUUUCCUACGAGUCACCAAGAUCUAUCUAUGGAGAGACUAGCAACGAGGGGAAGGAGAGUGCAUCUACAUAUCCUUGUAGAUCGCUAAGCGGAAGCGUUGAAGAGAACGGGGUUGAAGGAGUUGUACUCGUCGUGAUCCAAAUCACCGGAGAUCCUAGUGCCGAACGGACGGCACAUCCGCGUUCAACACACAUGCAGCCCGGUGACGUCUCCCAUGCCUUGAUCCAGCAAGGAGAGAGGGAGAGGUUGGGGAUGACUCCAUCCAGCAGCAGUACAACGGCAUGGUGGUGAUGGAGGAGCGUGGCAAUCCUGCAGGGCUUCGCCAAGCACCGCGUGAGAGGAGGAGGACUUGAGAGAGGGGGAGGGCUGCGCCAGAACUUGGUUGAAGCUCCCAUGCGCCUCCCCACUAUAUAUAGGGGUGGAUGGGUCUGGUUUCUUGCCCUCCAAGUCCAUUGGGGCGUUGGCAAAGGUGGGAGGAAAGAAAUCCCAUCAUUUCCUUCCCCACCGGUUGUUAUCCCCCCUUUUAGGAAUCUUAAUCUUAUCCCUUCGGGAUAUGAUCUUAUUCCUUCUAAGGGGGGAUCUUGGUGCGCCUUGACCAGGGGUGUGGGGCCUUUCCCCCACUACCCACGUUCAUGUGCCCCCCCAUGCAGGUGGGUCCCACUCCGGAACCUUCUAGAACCUUCCCGAUACAAUACCGAAAAAUCCUGAACAUUUUCCGGUGGCCAAAAUAGGACUUCCCAUAUAUAAAUAUUUACCUUCGGACCAUUCCGGAACUCCUCGUGACGUCCGGGAUCUCAUCCGGGACUCCGAACAACAUUCGGUAACCACAUACAAACUUCCUUUAUAACCCUAGCGUCAUCGAACCUUAAGUGUGUAGACCCUACGGGUUCGGGAACCAUGCGGACAUGACCUAGACGUUCUCCGGCCAAUAACCAACAGCGGGAUCUGGAUACCCAUGUUGGCUCCCACAUGUUCCACGAUGAUCUCAUCGGAUGAACCACGAUGUCAAGGACUCAAUCGAUCCCGUAUACAAUUCCCUUUAUCUAGCGGUAUUGUACUUGCCCGAGAUUCGAUCGUCGGUAUGCCGAUACCUUGUUCAAUCUCGUUAUCGGCAAGUCUCUUUACUCGUUCCGUAACACAUCAUCCGUGAUCAACCCCUUGGUCACAUCAUGCACAUUAUGAUGAUGUCCUAUCGAGUGGGCCCAGAGAUACCUCUCCGUCACACGGAGUGACAAAUCCCAGUCUCAAUUCGUGCCAACCCAACAGACACUUUCGGAGAUACCUGUAGUGCACCUUUAUAGCCACCCAGUUACGUUGUGACGUUUGGUACAUCCAAAGCAUUCCUACGGUAUCCGGGAGUUGCACAAUCUCAUGGUCUAAGGAAAAGAUACUUGACAUUUAGAAAAGCUUUAGCAUACGAACUACACGAUCUUUGUGCUAGGCUUAGGAUUGGGUCUUGUCCAUCACAUCAUUCUCUUAAUGAUGUGAUCCCGUUAUCAAUGACAUCCAAUGUCCAUGGUCAGGAAACCGUAACCAUCUAUUGAUCAACGAGCUAGUCAACUAGAGGCUUACUAGGGACAUGGUGUUGUCUAUGUAUCCACACAUGUAUCUGAGUUUCCUAUCAAUACAAUUAUAGCAUGGAUAAUAAACGAUUAUCAUGAACAAGGAAAUAUAAUAAUAACUACUCCCUCCGUUCCUCAAUAUAAGGUGUAUUAUUUUUCCAAAAAGUCAAACUUCUCUAAGUUUGACCAAGUUUAUAGACAAAAAUAUCGAUAUCUAGAAUACCAAAUCAUUAUCACUAGAUUCAUCAUGAACUACAUUUUUACUUUUUAUAUAUUUAGUAUUAUAAAUCUUUAUAUAUUUUUCUGUAAAGUUAGUCAAAUAUAGACAACAGUUGACUUUUUGAAAAACUAAUACACCUUAUAUUUAGGAACGGAGGGAGUAAUUUAUUAUUGCCUCUAGGGCAUAUUUCCAACAGACAGCGGGGGUAAACCCUAUGUUGCUCAUUUGAGCAGCCUUGGGCAGUGCAACUCAGGUGAACGGUGAUGUUAGUUCACCAGUGUAGGCUAGCCGGGGCGGUGGCGCUAGGUAUAUCACAACGCCUUUCCCUUCCUCCCUCACGGCAGUGCUCUAUCUGACCCCAUCGGUAGCCAAGGAGAUGGUGUCGUGGCACUGGUGCAACAUACUUGUGCCCGGCCGACGGAGACAAUGGCCACAUCAACUAGAAAGGAAUCAGAACAGUAGGAUCUGCCCUAGGGGCAAUGGGUCCUGAUCUAAGAUUUGCGGCGUGGCUCGUCUAUCUGUGGCAACACAUCAUGGCAGCGAGCAGCGAUGGUCAGUCGAGCGUGAGGUGGUGUGAUGUGUGGCUCGUGGCUCUCUCCUAUGACGACGCAACAGAGGUCGUGUGGCGGCAUUCGGAAGCAAUAAAUAUGAUGGUGUCUUCUCCACCGAUGAAUUCUCCUUUGGUCAGAUAGUUCUGUGUGACUGGGUCGAUAGAGAGUUGGAUGACGAAUUGAUGGUGGACAUGGGGGUUGUUUUCUCGGGGUGAAAAAUUCAUGAUUUAUGGNNNNNNNNNNNNNNNNNNNNNNNNNNNNNNNNNNNNNNNNNNNNNNNNNNNNNNNNNNNNNNNNNNNNNNNNNNNNNNNNNNNNNNNNNNNNNNNNNNNNNNNNNNNNNNNNNNNNNNNNNNNNNNNNNNNNNNNNNNNNNNNNNNNNNNNNNNNNNNNNNNNNNNNNNNNNNNNNNNNNNNNNNNNNNNNNNNNNNNNNNNNNNNNNNNNNNNNNNNNNNNNNNNNNNNNNNNNNNNNNNNNNNNNNNNNNNNNNNNNNNNNNNNNNNNUGGAUAUCAAUUUCCUUCUAUUUAGGCCCGACCUAUCCCAUGUGGUUGGAUAUAAGAAAGCACUACAAUAUUAUCAGUUUUCCAAAAAAGAACGCAUCCUCUUACCUCUCCCAUUUGUUGUAAUAUUUCCCUAUCUUGUGAUAGAGUGUCAAAUGGUGUAUUAAAAGUGGGUGGCGGAAGACAAGCAACGACUAUGGUUCUUGCAAUCUCAACCGACUCUCUCGCCUUCAACCUACCGUGGCAGGGAGGACUCGGGUCCUUCUUUCCAUGUUAAGAAGUUACAUUAGUAUGAAUUUAUAGUUUAUGUCGGCAACGCUCGGGCGAAGAGUGUGAUGCCGCUGAGAACAAAUUUCGUUUGAUUCUUCUCUUGCCGUGAUGUUGCUUUACCGGGUAACGAUCGUGGAGCUAGGGAUGCCUUGUCUCCGCAGGUUCUAUCUGGUAGAAUUUGAGUUUUUGUCCUCACAAAUGUGUUCAUGCCCAUGUUAUGAGUUUGGGCUAGUAUCUGGUGCUUUUUUUUGUAUGAUCUUUUGUGGAUUUGGAGAGCUUCUAUGCUAUUUUGGUUAAGAUUCUGUGGUUCAAAUACAUGUACUUUUCGCUUCCCAUCUUUUUGGAUGGCCAGCUCAUGGUCUGAUCGCAGUGUCUUUAUUGAAUCUUUGACAAUAUUUCAUAUUGCAAAGAUUGCGACCAUGAAGAAUAAGCCUCCGAGAGAUUUCAUUGUGAUUCUUAUUCAUAAGAGUUACUUGUGUAAUUCCUUAGGUUUAUGAUCCAAAGCAUAUUGUGCAUGUACUGGCUGUCAAGUUUGAAUAAAGGUACAUGGAAUUUAAAGAAAAGCAACAACAAAGCACCAAAAUAACUUCUACAUGAGAGAGAAGGCCGGGCGGCUGGGCUUGGUGGCAGCAGCGGGAUGGCACCGACGGGAGGCUGCGACAAAGAAUUCUUUGAGCCAAUUUGAGUUGAUUUCUCCUAGGAAAGCGGCGGUUUUCUUCUAAAACCUCCACAGCUGGCCUUUUAGUGUUGUCUAUAAUUAUUUUGCCAAAAACCGACUCCAUGGAUCAACUAUAGGAAUUCUUAUACUGAAGUAAAACAAGUCUGGAAUUAUGAUAAAAGAAAAUAUUAUCAAUGUAUUGUUGUGGCUCGUAGGGCAAAGGAAAAGUGUUCAAAAUUGUUACUAGCAGGGGCGGCACCAGGAGUCUUCUUAGGUCUUCACAUGAAUAUCAAAGAUUUGGUGAUGUGUGUGUAUAUUGUAGCUAUAUUUACUGUAUAUUGCUGGUAUUUGCUGGUAUUUAGUACAAACAAAUUUCAAUGAAUACCAUGCCGAUGGUUCCUGCCUCCGUGACUGGUUACUAGUGCUUAAAAACUAGUGCAAUGUUGCCUCAGGCAUCCACCACUUUCUCCCUUCCCUUGGUAUUUUUCGUCAAAGGGUGAAUUUUAUUAGCUUAAAAUAAAGCAUCAAGUGAAUACAAACAUAAUGAGCACACACCCGGCCUCUGCAUAGCUAAGAUGCACACAGCCAACACACACUAAACACGUCGGCAAAUAGCAAAGUCAUACAAGACCAAAGCUAUGCCUUAGCAUGGAAAAAGAAGAAGAAAAAAGCCGAAGCGAUCAACAUAGCGAUCGAAAAAAGUCAAUUAUGUGUUGUCGCCACCACUUUUCCGCGAUCCCAACAGCUGCAUACACUGCUGCUGCACAACCUUACCCUCUGCGUUGAACCGCCGUCCAUAGAUUGUGUCUCAUCCCUUGGGUAUACUAGCCAAAAAGUAAUAAACGCGGAAGGACACAAAAUCUAUGCAUGUAAGAUAUAACUCUCAUUCCAGAUUACAUAAGUAUACCAUUGGUCCUGGAUGUGCAUAGUUUUUUUAGGAAAAACUUCCAAUCUAUUCAUCUUCAAUCAUAACAGUACAACGAAUACCAGAAAGUGCAUAGUUGUAAGUGGGUCAGAAACAAUCGACCUUAGAACACCUCAUCCCGUGACUUCCGUCCGUAGGCCGAGCUCCUUACGGCCCCCCGUAAGUCUAGCAUUUUUGGUGGCCGUGGAUAUGCUGGAUUGUGUGAGGGGAGGUUAUUUCCGUACACCGGCGACUCCGGACCAUCAUCAACGAACGCACUUUUGGAUCUGUUCAUCGCCUUAUCAAACCCUAGUAUCCAUUUCAUUGCUGUGCUGCGCUCCCCGAACGGAGGAGGGGACGGGAUCACAGCCCCGGCGCCAUUACCGGUGUCGACGACAUGCCCUGCAAAGAGGACCGCGUGCGACUCCUCCUCCACUAUGCAGUAGGCGAACGGGUGGUCGGCCACGAAGCCCACCACCGGCGGCCGGAACAGAGAGCACGUCAGAGGAGCGAUCGCGGCGGCUCUGGUUCCUUCCUCGAGCUCGUUCACCUCAAUGACGGCCUUGUGGAAGACGUCCUGCACCUGCACGUGCAUGCCCUUCAUCAUCAUCUCCGAGAGGUCGGCGCCUUCGCCGAAAGGAAGAGCAAGCCCCAGGUCCUUGAGCACGUCGGUGACGCUGCCCUCGAAGGUGAGCUCGAACUUGGGCACCCCGAACUCGACGACGACGGCCAUGCUCGUCGGCAGGUGCUCGCGCAGGAAGCCUGGCGACGUCAUCUUCUCCAGCAGGCUCCCCAGGCCGUCGCACGCGUUCGGGAGGAAGAUGCACAUGCUGGUGUAGGGCGGUGAGCUGCUCUUGUAGCGUAGCUUGAGCACCUUGAAGCUGCCGUGCUCGGCGAUGUAGUGGUGCUCGUAGUUGGACAUGAAGGGGACGUCGACGGCGGUGCCGUCCAGCCGGUAGAAGGGCCUGUUCUUGGUCGAGCUCUCGUAGAACGGCAGGCUCCACUUGCCCCUGAAGUAGAUGACGUUGGCCCUCAACUCCUACUCCCGCCGAUUUCCAUUGCUUUAUCUCAUCAAGGAUAAUAAGCACUAGUCUAGUGUCCGAUCUAACUUGGUUGUCUCUAUGGAACACCCUAGCGUUCCUUUGCUUCCAGAGGUGCCAUGCGGUAGCGAUGACAGAGGAGUCGAAACCUCUCUUGAUCUUCCCAUGAAAGGAGGCACGCGUCCUCCCCCACCAUGCCAUGAAUGAGUCGUCUUGGCUUGGGGUCUGAAUGUUGACUUGUAGGGCCUCGAGGCAUCCGUGCCGUACCUGUCCUGCGUAGACGCACUGGGUCACGAUGUGAUCCACAUUGUCCUCUUCCUGUUCGCACGUGAAGCAAGGCGAAGUGGUCUCUUGUAGACGCACUGGGCCAAGACGGUCGAAAAUGAUUAUAAGAUUUUCCGGCCGCGCCAAAAUCGCUCCGGCGAAAAGCAAUGCGGGGUUCGAAACUAAAAUCGAAAAUGAAAAAUAUGUGGAGACGCGGCCACUCCUCUCCCCCGAUGCGCCGCCGCCCCCCGUCCCCACUGCUCCGCCUCCGCUCCCAGCCUCUCCCCCUCGGCGUUCGCGCCUCCGGAUCGAAGCCCACGACGGCGGCGUUCCCAGAUCGGCGACGCGCCACCCCUGGCUCGUCGUCACCGCUGACCGCCGCGUCCUCGUCAUCGUAAAGGAAGCGCGGCUUCCAGCCGGCGGCGACGCGAAGAAGCUGCUCCUGCUCCCGCGGCUGACGGCGGCGGCCGUGACGAAGCUGCUCCUGCUCCAGAGGGGCGCCUCUGCCCCCGCGUGUUCCACCGGGAGAGGAGAGGAUCUUCUUCUUCUCGGGCGACGACGCAUCCUCCUCCUCCGCCGCCCUGCGUACAUGGGCGCUCACCACGGAAGGUACAGCGCGCGCUCCGCUUCUUCCGCUGGCCGCUGCCAUCUCCGCAGCGGAUGAUGUUUGCCUCUUGCUGCCCAAUCCCGGGCGACCGCAGGGGAGGUACCGCUGGAGCUCAAUCUGGCGUUCAACGGCGCGGACAUCCCCUGUGGGUUUCGGCUGGGCGGGCAUCUCCUACUCUUCCCGGACCUCAUGGUCCAGGUCCAGGUCCUGUCCUCUCCCUCCCCCUCCCCCUCCCCCUCCCCCUUCUCCAUUCUAGAACCCACUGCUCCUUCUCGACUGGAUUAUUGCCUGUCGACUGAAUUCCUUGCCCCACCCAUAAUUUUCAGUGACUAAUCCCUAUUAUUGUGUGCAGCACAAGUCUGCCCUACAUGAUGCCCGGCAGCCUCACCAAGCCGCAGAGACGGUAAUUAAGGUCCAUUUCCGAGCUCCCCACAAACCCCUCCUCCCUAGCAGGAUGCAUGCAUGUGCAACAGACUGAAACAAACAGCCUACACUGUCCUCAAGUGAAGUCCCCUGUUUCUUCUUCUUCUUUCACAGCUCUGCACUCCAACAGCUUGCACGGCUCCGUCACCGCCGAGAUCAUCAACUGCGCCAAGCCGGGUGCAAUUUAUGCGUGCCACCAGUAUGCCAUCUAGUUCUUUUUAUGCUACUUCAUUGGGUUUGUUUUGUUUGCUUGGUUGUAGGUUGAUGAAUAAGGCUGCUGAAAAAUAAAAUUCGGGUGUUUUGGUUGUGCAUCUGUUCAGUUAUCUGAGCCAACUCUACCUGCUGAGAUUAUUAUUGGUGUGGGCAACCACCAGUACGUGUAUGAGCAGCUUAAGGUUAUCCUUAUGCAUGAUUGUGUGCUGUCCAUCAUGAUGGCCGGACUCGUUCAUGAAUGUCGAUCUUUCCCACCGCAGGGGAGAUGCACAUUUUGAAGCCAUGACUUCCCUUUUUCUGUUCUUGUGUACCACUCGGUGAAGUGGCCUGCACUCCUGUUCCUAAGAGUUUUUGAAAUUUUGUAUUUGGUUGCCAUGCGAACCGAACUGGCCCGUACUCCUGUUCACCGGUCUUUUGUUUAGCAUGGAUUGUAUGCCCUGUUUCCAGUACUUAUGGUAGUUCUAGGGCAUUGUUUGAUACUUGCUAGCAUGAUUGACUUUUCCGUUGAGUAGCUAACCACUACCUGGUUGUUUGAACCAAUGGCUGGUUAGAUCCUGUAGGCUGAGUCUAUGGUCUGUUUGGGUUGCUAUUGUGGUCUGGUUGUUCUCUAAUAAGAACAUAUAUUUUUCUUGCUUGUGCAUUCAACUGAAGCCAUUGCUUAUGUGUGUACUGUUUGAUUGCCCCGUCAGACUAAAGAUGAUGGUAGAGUUUUUCCUGUCAACGACAACUCUGCUUUGAUGCGGCGCCUCGGCCUCCCGUGGAUGAGCUGAUGAUGAGGUACGCCCUCCUCUCCUUCCUUCCCCUUCCUGUCGCCCAAACAGUGACUAGUGUGUAUGCUGCAUUUUUAUUACGCCUACUCAGAGAAAUCACACGUAGAUGAAGUUGAGGAUUGCUAGGUAGUUAGUUGCAUGGUGAAAUUGACUUGGCUUAGAAUCUGGUGGUAGCUUGUCAUAGAUGAUAUGGUUCCCUCAAUGAAGAACUCUUAUGGCAUUUUUAGAUGAAUGAAUCAGAUUGCAAAUUUGUUUGAUUUUUUUCUUUUUUUAUUCAAAAAAGGAGGUUAAACCCCCGGCCUUUGCAUCAAUAUGACGCACACGGCUAUUUUUAUUAAUUAUUCAGCAGAGUACUGCAAAUUUGUUUGAUACUCACACCUGAUUGUUGAUUCGUUCGCUAUAUAUAUGUUGGUGUCGAACAUCCUGAUCCUUGUUUGGUGAAACAGCAGCAACAACAACAACAACAACAAUAACAACAACAACAAAGCCUUUAGUCCCAAACAAGUUGGCGUAGGCUAGAGGUGAAACCCAUAAGAUCUCGCAACCAACUCAUGGCUCUGGCACAUGGAUAGCAAGCUUCCACGCACCCCUGUCCAUAGCUAGCUCUUUGUCGAUACUCCAAUCCUUUAGGUCUCUCUUAACGGACUUGUUUGGUGAAACAGCAGUUGUUUUAUUUUGGUUUGAGUUCCUAUAUUGGUGCAGAGAUAUGAUUGAAAAUAAAUGUGCUUAUGUACCGGACUGCCAGUUCACAUUUCAACAUGGCUGGUUUGUUGUAUCUUAGUUUGCCGAUAGAUUCCUGGAUGGCCAGAUUUGAUAGCUAGCUUGAUUGUUUCUCACGUUUUAUCGGGGGAUGUCCUUUGCCCAAUUCCAUGGCUGAUUGUGUGUUAUUUCGUGUGGACGGGUACAGAAUUGCAGGCACGGAGGGGUUGUACACGGAGCUGCAGGGAAAGAUGAUGGGCAAUAAGGCCACAGAGUAAGCGCUCAUCUUUGUCGAGGAGUGCGGACUCACCAGCCUUCUCACGCCGGAUCAGUUCCUCAAGGAGUGGGAGAGUAUGCUCCAGGGGAUCUCUUCCUCCUGCGCGCCUGGUGAGAACGCUUUGUCUGUAACUCCCCUUCUAAUGAUACUCUUGUGGUUUGUAUUUGUAAGUGAUGGUGUCAAGCUUCAGUUGUCAGUUGUGUGGGGCAACUAAAUUGUGAGUUUAACAUGGCUGUAUAAUUGUAGGAUCAUUACGUCUUUGAUAGUUCAUUCACUGUGACUGCUUCAGUCGCUUUCAUGACUUGCUGCAAUCUCCCUUGCUUAUUUCUUAAAUUUCUCCACUCAAUUAUAAUGCUAAUUUCCAUAAUGGAGCCUUUAAUCAUACUUAUAAUCUUCAGCUUUCAGCAUUAUAUCUUUGAAGCACCGCUGUUUCCUUUACCUCCCGCCUUGAUUUGUUUGACCUUCUGCAUUGAGCUCCUGAUGCAAUUAUGAUUUGGGCUGCUGUGUGUCGUGAAGAUAGUAAUACGAUCGAUGAUUUACAAGUAAUUUAUUUAUUGCACUCCACUUGUUUUACAUAUGAUUUUUGAUGCGUUAAAACUGUUGUUGUGGUUCAGAUGCUUGGCAAGAUUGAUGUUGUUGGCGGCACAAGGGGCAAGGCGGUGAAGAGAGAAGGAAGUGCAUGCUGAAGGAAGUGCUUUGUGUCACGCAAGUGCUAAUUGAUGGAUGGAUAUGGCUGGUGAUAGAUAUGUGUUGUGUACUUAGUAGAUAAAACGGCUUGGUUUUGUUUGCCAUGAACCUCAAAUGUUGGAAAUCGAUGUAAAUGCAUUUCCCAGCUCUUGUUUAUGUUGGGCUGGGCAAUGAGAUGAGCGAGGGCGAUACUAGAAACAUGCAUGCCACCGUAAAUUUCUGUAUUUCUUAAAUGAAGUGGAGGAAUUUAAGAAAUCUGAUUCAUGGAAUGACCAUGAAUCACACUCUGUGAAAUGAAAUGAAAAUGCAUCAAGCAGGAGUGAAGAAAUGAGCUUCAUUUUCAAGCCGAG
This 37328-nucleotide long non-coding RNA is filed under the name Triticum aestivum (bread wheat). Its description in RNAcentral is "long non-coding RNA (TAES_LNC007648)". The record is from RNAcentral. Lineage: Eukaryota; Viridiplantae; Streptophyta; Magnoliopsida; Poales; Poaceae.